RNAcentral lists this ribosomal RNA (253 nucleotides) under uncultured bacterium. Its description in RNAcentral is "partial 16S ribosomal RNA". It matches the Rfam family "Bacterial small subunit ribosomal RNA", at positions 524 to 776 of the family's 1533-position model. The record is from RNAcentral.
UACAGAGGUCCCAAGCGUUGUUCGGAUUCACUGGGCGUAAAGGGUGCGUAGGUGGUCGGGUAAGUUUGAUGUGAAAUCUCCGGGCUUAACCCGGAAAUGGCAUUGAAUACUAUUCGGCUAGAGAGUUGGAGGGGGGACUGGAAUUCUCGGUGUAGCAGUGAAAUGCGUAGAUAUCGAGAGGAACACCAGUGGCGAAGGCGAGUCCCUGGACAACUUCUGACACUGAGGCACGAAAGCUAGGGGAGCAAACAGG